Molecule: small nuclear RNA, 157 nt
Organism: Rattus norvegicus (Norway rat)
Lineage: Eukaryota; Metazoa; Chordata; Mammalia; Rodentia; Muridae
Product: U4 spliceosomal RNA
Source: Ensembl
AGCUUUGCACAGUGGCAGUAUUGUAGCCAAUGAGGUUUAUCCGAGGCGCGAUUAUUGCUAAUAGAACACAUCAAUUAUAGUCCUUCAACAUGCUUACCUCACAUGAAAUAUUGGAGAAAGUAGGCUACAAGUAUUUUUCCACUUGAGACUUGAGUGG